This 463-nucleotide ribosomal RNA is filed under the name uncultured bacterium. RNAcentral describes it as "partial 16S ribosomal RNA". It matches the Rfam family "Bacterial small subunit ribosomal RNA", at positions 28 to 507 of the family's 1533-position model. The record is from RNAcentral.
GACGAACGCUGGCGGCGUGCUUAACACAUGCAAGUCGAACGGAAAGGCCUUUUCGGAGGUACUCGAGUGGCGCACGGGUGAGUAACACGUGGGUGAUCUGCCCUGCACUCUGGGAUAAGCCUGGGAAACUGGGUCUAAUACCGGAUAGGACCGCACUUUAGUGUGUGUGGUGGAAAGUUUUUUCGGUGUAGGAUGAGCCCGCGGCCUAUCAGCUUGUUGGUGGGGUAAUGGCCUACCAAGGCGGCGACGGGUAGCCGGACUGAGUGGUUGGUCGGCCACAUUGGGACUGAGAUACGGCCCAGACUCCUACGGGAGGCAGCAGUGGGGAAUAUUGCACAAUGGGCGCAAGCCUGAUGCAGCGACGCCGCGUGGGGGAUGACGGCCUUCGGGUUGUAAACUCCUUUCGCCAGGGACGAAGCGUUUUGUGACGGUACCUGGAGAAGAAGCACCGGCUAACUACGUG